GACGAACGCUGGCGGCGUGCUUAACACAUGCAAGUCGAACGGAAAGGCCCUGCUUUUGUGGGGUGCUCGAGUGGCGCACGGGUGAGUAACACGUGAGUAACCUGCCCUUGACUUUGGGAUAACUUCAGGAAACUGGGGCUAAUACCGGCUAGGAGCUCCUGCUGCAUGGUGGGGGUUGGAACGUUUCGGCGGUUGGGGAUGGACUCGCGGCUUAUCAGCUUGUUGGUGGGGUAGUGGCUUACCAAGGCUUUGACGGGUAGCCGGCCUGAGAGGGUGACCGGCCACAUGGGGACUAAGAGACGGCCCAGACUCAUACGGGAGGCAGCAGUGGGGAAUAUUGCACAAUGGGCGGAAGCAUGAUGCAGCAGCGCCGCGUGCGGGAUGAAGGCCUUCGGGUUGUAAACCGCAUUCGCCUGUGACGAAGCGUGAGUGACGGUAAUAGGUAAAGAAGCACCGGCUAACUACGUG
Molecule: ribosomal RNA, 468 nt
Filed under: uncultured bacterium
Lineage: Bacteria
Description: partial 16S ribosomal RNA
Rfam family: Bacterial small subunit ribosomal RNA
Source: RNAcentral